AGGCUUGGUUUCCUGGGAAGUGGGCUCAGCCUCCUCCACUUCCCCUCAGCAGAGCCUACAAUAGAGGGGCCAGGCCUCCUCCAUGGGAGAGGUGUUUGUGGAAGGAGCCUUGCCUAGUCUGGCCUGGCCUCACACUU
Nannospalax galili (Upper Galilee mountains blind mole rat) is the source of this 137-nucleotide non-coding RNA. The record is from Ensembl. Lineage: Eukaryota; Metazoa; Chordata; Mammalia; Rodentia; Spalacidae.